RNAcentral lists this ribosomal RNA (164 nucleotides) under uncultured bacterium. RNAcentral's name for it is "partial 16S rRNA". It matches the Rfam family "Bacterial small subunit ribosomal RNA", at positions 355 to 511 of the family's 1533-position model. The record is from RNAcentral.
UAGGGAAUCUUCCACAAUGGACGAAAGUCUGAUGGAGCAACGCCGCGUGAGUGGAGAAGGUCUUCGGAUCGUAAAGCUCUGUUGUUGGUGAAGAAGGAUAGAGGCAGUAACUGGUCUUUAUUUGACGGUAAUCAACCAGAAAGUCACGGCUAACUACGUGCCAG